This 1164-nucleotide ribosomal RNA is filed under the name Triticum aestivum (bread wheat). Its description in RNAcentral is "partial small subunit ribosomal RNA". The record is from RNAcentral. Lineage: Eukaryota; Viridiplantae; Streptophyta; Magnoliopsida; Poales; Poaceae.
AUGACAAGCUCCAGCGGGAGCAAGCGACGUAUGAGCGUGCGACAGGCAAGCGGGAGGCUUGGGGAUCCUCUUUGUCCUGGCGCCGAGAGGAGGACCGCCAUUCAGGACAGAGGGGCGGCUAGGUCAUUGGUUUCUCCACCUUCCACCUCGCGCGCGGGCCUUCCGGCUCAUGUUGCCGAUCCCUGGGAGGUGAUGGGUUUUGGUGGUGCGGCAUCUCAUGGGCCGCCUACUAGGACGACGCCGGCGGGUGGCCGUCCUUCUGGCCCUCCUCUUGGUGAUGGUUUCCAGGAUCCGGUGAGGCAGCGGCUAGGGAGGUCGAGGCGAGGCGGCGGACCGGACGAGCCUGGAGAGCAGAUCAGCCGGCAAGCCGGACCAGCAGUGCCGCCGUCUCCUUCUUGCUCUUUCUAUGAGCAGGAGCAGGGGUCGCCCAGCCGCCGCAGCCCCGACGGGAAAGGGCCGCCGCGGUCCUCCUUUCGGUUACGCGCUUGGCCGCCGCACUUCUCCAGCCACCUCCCAGCGCCAAGUACACCCCGGCCGCCUCCUCCACUUGCCUACUCCUGGCGACGCGCGCCGCGCCUAGCACGCGCCCCGCCGUUCCCCUCCUGCUGCCUCCUCCUAGCGACGCACGCCACGGUCAGGGGGCCUGUUUCCCUAGGUCCCCAACGCCGACGGUCGAUUACAGUGCCAUCUAGGUGUUGUUGCUGCAUACUUGGGUGGGAGAUUGAACAUAUGUGCCAACUUUCUUCUGUCGGCAGAGAGACCAAAAUGGCUAGAGAAGGAGAUGUGCCUGACAAUGAAACAGAGGGUUCUGCAAAUCCGAUCUCACGACGGCACUCAAAAAGGGCUGCUAAGCGGCAGCCGCAUGGCGAUGAUAAGGACGGGGAUGGAGAGGAUGACGAUGGUGGCGAAAGAUUCCUCUUAGUAAAACUGCAGAGAAGAAAGGUGCGCAUGAAGGCAGUAUCCAAAGGGGUAGAUGCCACAUCUUCUGCAGCAGCCGCUGAGGGGGGUGAGGGUAAUGAAGAAGAUAAUGCAGAACGACAGUCACAAGCUGGUAGGAUAAGGGCAUCUCCUGGGAGGUUGGUGAAGUUGAACAAUAAGUUGAGCCCAUUACAAAAGUCCCCCCCUCUGCCACAAGCUGUUUGGAGGCCUGGAUUCAUGUUUUAG